UCCAGUAAUCAGUCCACCUCAAGCUGUGAUCUUGUCAGAUUUCAUAAGCAAAACAGCUGGGCCCGGUCAGUGCUUGGAUGGGAAACCUCCAAGGAAAACUAAAGUGCUCCAGGAA
Apteryx haastii (Great spotted kiwi) is the source of this 115-nucleotide ribosomal RNA. Lineage: Eukaryota; Metazoa; Chordata; Aves; Apterygiformes; Apterygidae. The record is from Ensembl.